RNAcentral lists this ribosomal RNA (496 nucleotides) under uncultured bacterium. Its description in RNAcentral is "partial 16S ribosomal RNA". It matches the Rfam family "Bacterial small subunit ribosomal RNA", at positions 28 to 506 of the family's 1533-position model. The record is from RNAcentral.
GAUGAACGCUGGCGGCGUGCCUAAUACAUGCAAGUCGAGCGAACAGACGAGGAGCUUGCUCCUCUGACGUUAGCGGCGGACGGGUGAGUAACACGUGGAUAACCUACCUAUAAGACUGGGAUAACUUCGGGAAACCGGAGCUAAUACCGGAUAAUAUAUUGAACCGCAUGGUUCAAUAGUGAAAGACGGUUUUGCUGUCACUUAUAGAUGGAUCCGCGCCGCAUUAGCUAGUUGGUAAGGUAACGGCUUACCAAGGCGACGAUGCGUAGCCGACCUGAGAGGGGGAUCGGCCACACUGAAACUGAGCCAGGGUCCAGACCCCUACGGGAGGAAGCAGUAGGAAAUCUCCCGCAAUGGGCGAAAGCCUGACGGGGCAACGCCGCGUGAGUGAUGAGGGUCUUCGGAUCGUAAAACCCUGUUAUUAGGGAAGAACAAAUGUGUAAGUAACUAUGCACGUCUGGACGGUACCUAAUCAGAAAGCAACGGCUAACUACGU